GUGAAUCAUCGAAUUUUUGAACGCAAAUUGCACUCUCUUCGGAGAGUAUGCCUGUUUGAGGGUCAGCCUAAAAAAAAAUCGACAUAGUCGCUGUUUCGCGGUGACAUUCGUCGGAAAUUGGGUAAUCUUAAACCUUUGGGUUUUAAGCGGCCUAAAUUUUUUUUUACGAUUCUGCAAAUUUUUAUAAGUUUUU
This 193-nucleotide unclassified non-coding RNA is filed under the name Glomus sp. RNAcentral's name for it is "partial contains 5.8S ribosomal RNA and internal transcribed spacer 2". The stretch from base 1 to 65 matches the Rfam family "5.8S ribosomal RNA", at positions 84 to 154 of the family's 154-position model. The record is from RNAcentral. Lineage: Eukaryota; Fungi; Glomeromycota; Glomeromycetes; Glomerales; Glomeraceae.